CCUACGGGAGGCAGCAGUGAGGAAUAUUGGUCAAUGGGCGAGAGCCUGAACCAGCCAAGUCGCGUGAAGGAUGACGGCACUACGGGUUGUAAACUUCUUUUGUCAGGGAGCAAUUGGGUCCACGCGUGGGCUUAGCGAGAGUACCUGAAGAAAAAGCAUCGGCUAACUCCGUGCCAGCAGCCGCGGUAAUACGGAGGAUCCGAGCGUUAUCCGGAUUUAUUGGGUUUAAAGGGAGCGUAGAUGGGUUGUUAAGUCAGUGGUGAAAGUUUGCGGCUCAACCGUAAAAUUGCAAUUGAUACUGGCAGUCUCGAGUACAGUUGAGGUAGGCGGAAUUCGUGGUGUAGCGGUGAAAUGCUUAGAUAUCACGAAGAACCCCGAUUGCGAAGGCAGCUUACUAAACUGUGACUGACAUUGAUGCUCGAAAGUGUGGGUAUCAAACAGGAUUAGAUACCCUGGUAGUC
RNAcentral lists this ribosomal RNA (461 nucleotides) under uncultured bacterium. Its description in RNAcentral is "partial 16S ribosomal RNA". It matches the Rfam family "Bacterial small subunit ribosomal RNA", at positions 338 to 795 of the family's 1533-position model. The record is from RNAcentral.